GUUCCCCUUGAACGAGGAAUUCCCAGUAAGCGCGAGUCAUAAGCUCGCGUUGAUUACGUCCCUGCCCUUUGUACACACCGCCCGCCGCUACUACCGAUUGGUCGGCAUUGUGAGCCCCUCGGAUUGGACCCGGCAUCGUGGGAAACUUCGAAGCCGGUGCGCCGAGAAGAAGGGCAAACAGUUCUGACUAGAGGAAGUAAAAGUCGUAACAAGGUUUCCGUAGGUGAACCUGCGGAAGGAUCA
This 243-nucleotide ribosomal RNA is filed under the name Pteria penguin. RNAcentral describes it as "partial 18S ribosomal RNA". It matches the Rfam family "Eukaryotic small subunit ribosomal RNA", at positions 1592 to 1828 of the family's 1831-position model. Lineage: Eukaryota; Metazoa; Mollusca; Bivalvia; Pterioida; Pteriidae. The record is from RNAcentral.